GGCCGGAUAAGGCGUUCACGCCGCAUCCGGCAACCAGCGCCUGAUGCGCCGCUGUCGCGUCUUAUCAGGCC
RNAcentral lists this non-coding RNA (71 nucleotides) under Escherichia coli. RNAcentral's name for it is "Nucleoid-associated noncoding RNA 4 (CssrE)". It matches the Rfam family "Nucleoid-associated noncoding RNA 4 (CssrE)". Rfam says of the family: In E. coli small RNA transcribed from repeated extragenic palindromic element (REP325) called nucleoid-associated ncRNA 4 (nRNA4) collaborates HU protein in condensing the DNA. The secondary structure but not the sequence of the RNA is important in nucleoid condensation. Also identified in Shigella as CssrE. The record is from RNAcentral. RNAcentral also lists the same sequence under 5 other names. Lineage: Bacteria; Pseudomonadati; Pseudomonadota; Gammaproteobacteria; Enterobacterales; Enterobacteriaceae.